This 271-nucleotide unclassified non-coding RNA is filed under the name Hevea brasiliensis (rubber tree). Lineage: Eukaryota; Viridiplantae; Streptophyta; Magnoliopsida; Malpighiales; Euphorbiaceae. The record is from RNAcentral.
GUAACAGCAGUGGUGGUGGUGGCAGUGGAAGGGAGAGAAACGUUGUCGUCUUGGGGUGUGUUGGUGGUGAAUUGGAAGUCCAUGGUUUCUGAAGCCUGCGUUUUCUUGGGUUUUCGGCCGCGUUUUCUGGGUUUGUUGUCCAUUAUUUUCUGGUUGUGCGCUUCAGGUGCUUGUUUUCUACUUUCAGGGGGGGUUUUGUUAUGCUAUUCUGGUGAUUGAUUCUGGGAAUCAAGGAAGAAGACAUAUGAGAAGAGAAUGGAGUGCCAUUUUC